Molecule: non-coding RNA, 3271 nt
Organism: Rattus norvegicus (Norway rat)
Lineage: Eukaryota; Metazoa; Chordata; Mammalia; Rodentia; Muridae
Source: RefSeq, a predicted model, not a curated record
CUUCAUAAAGAGUGCUUGAUGCAUGGUAGAUGCUUAUUAAAAAUGUGCUCAAUAAGUGGAUGUGUAAAGUGGGGAGAAGAAUAACACCACCUUGCAAGGUUGAGGUGGGAAUGUAGGAAGGGAAGCUCCAUAGUACUUUAUAGUGCCCAGCAUAUACUAGAUGUUGGGAUAGAAAUCUCUGCUCACGUUCGGACAGACCACACCAAGCCAACAUUGUUCCACGUGGAAAGGUUUAAUGAGAGAAGAAGCAUAGAAGAGGCCAUGAGCAUGUGGAGGGGUGGGGGAAGGGAAUGGGGAGAGAAGGAACAAAGGGGAAGAGGGCAAGAGGGCAGGAGCAAGAGGCAAGAGAACAAGAGCAAGAGAAGAGAAGAGAAUGAGGGCAAGCAGCCCCUUUUAUAGUGAGUCAGGAUGCACAUUUGGCUGUUGCCAGGUAACUGUGGGGGUGGAACUUAGACAGAAUACCGACAGUAGGUGCUCAUGAAAUACUUGUUGAAUGGGUGAAUGUUGUGGGGCCAAUGUUAACUAAAGAUUAUGGCGUUGCUAUGAAGAUGGGUUGAUAGUGUGUUGUAGUGUGCUUGCAUACAGUAGGUACUCAAGCAUCUGUUGGGUGAAGAUGGAGGGAUGAGCUCUGAGGCUCAGGAGAGCAGUUCAUGUGGGAUGCAGAGAUGUGAGGAUGUGGGACAUGAUCCUUUGUAGGAAGAGUGGUCAACUAUGCCUAGCUCUCCCAGAUGUGGAAAGUUAAGUUUGGAUUACCCUUCUCCCCUCUCCCCUGUGUCUUUUGUCUCCUAGAAUCCAUGUCCAGAAUCGAGUGCCUCUUUUCUUUCCAGGAUCACUUUUUGGUGGAUUACAGGGAUGAUGGUGCAGGGCUACCGCCAGCCCCUGAAGAGCAGUGACCUCUGGUCAUUGAAUAAAGAGGACACGUCAGAAGAAGUGGUACCUGUGCUGGUGAAUAACUGGAAGAAGGAAUGUGUUAAGUCGAGGAAGCAGCCUGUACAGAUUGUGUAUGCCCCUCCCAAAGAUCCCACCAAGCCUAAGGGAAGUUCUCAGUUGGAUGUGAAUGAGGAAGUGGAGGCACUGAUUGUCAAGUCAUCCCACAAGGACUGGGACCCCUCUCUGUUCAAGGUGUUGUACAAGAUCUUUGGGCCCUACUUCCUCAUGAGCUUCCUGUACAAGGCCCUUCAUGACCUGAUGAUGUUUGUGGGCCCUGAGAUCUUGGAGUAAGAACUCUUGCCUGACUACCUGCUUCCCUGUAACUUCUUGGGUGGUCCUGUCAUAUGUGGGAUCAGGAUUGUUACCUACCCCUUACCUUCAUCUUCACUGUCUUUGCUUAGUUACUAUAUGAGUUGUAGCCACUUUGAUUGCAAGUCACAGAAGCUUCUCGAAUCCAAAGUUAGGAGGAUAUGGGGCUGUCUAGAUCUCAUGAGUAUCUGCAACUGGAAACCAAGAAGGCAGCAAGGGGGCCUCUGCCAUCUUUCUGUCACCUUGGUCUCAGUGUGCUCUAUUUGAUUACCUUUGAGUGAUGUGCUGGUGGGGAGACAUAACUAUCAGUAUGGUGAACCCAAGGCAGAGGUCCCUGUUGUAAGAAUCUGGUACCUGGCAGUUAUAUCACCCUAUAAGGUAAAGUGUUGUCUGAUGGGUGGCUCAGGUGGAAAUCACUAUGUUGUCUUGCAAGUACUUGCCCUUGCUGUAUGUAUCACACUCAAAUCUCCCUCCCAUCCCCACAGAUUGAUUAUCAACUUUGUGAAUGACAGGGAGGCCCCUGACUGGCAGGGCUACUUGUACACAGCACUGCUGUUUGUCAGCGCCUGUCUGCAGACACUGGCACUCCACCAGUACUUUCAUAUCUGCUUCGUCACCGGCAUGCGCAUCAAGACUGCUGUGGUGGGCGCUGUUUACCGCAAGGCUCUUGUGAUCACCAAUUCAGCUAGAAAAUCGUCCACAGUUGGAGAGAUUGUCAACCUCAUGUCCGUGGAUGCCCAGCGCUUCAUGGACUUGGCCACGUAUAUUAACAUGAUCUGGUCAGCCCCUCUGCAAGUCACCCUAGCCCUCUACUUCCUGUGGCUGGUGUGUGUUUUCCCUUGGUCUUCUUCUUGUGCAGGCAGGGAUGGCCUUGACUAGGCACUGACAGGGAGGGCAUGGGUGGGAAAGAAUGUAUCUUGCAUUCAUUUACAUUUUAUUUUCUGGGCUAUUUGCUAAUUUCUGAUAAUUUUUUUUUUUUUUUUGGAUUUCAGCCAGUCAUGCCCUCUUGGGUCCACUGGCCGUUUUGUUUUGUUUUGUUUUGUUUUGUUUUUAAGAUUUAUUUAUUAAGUACACUGUAGCUGUCUUCAGACACACCAGAAAAGGGCAUCAGAUCUCAUUACAGAUGGUUGUGAGCCAACAUGUGGUUGCUGGGAUUUGAACUCAGGACCUCUGGAAGAGCAGCCAGUGCUCUUAACCGCUGAGCCAUCUCUCCAGCCCAAUUUCUGAUAAUUUUAUUCCUUUCAUGUAUCAUUAGGGAUUAGUUUCGUUUUGUGAGUUGGUAGGUGUGCAUUGUCAUGUCUUUGUCUAUGUGGGCUAUAGGUGCUCUGUGUGUGUGUGUGUGUGUGUGUGUGUGUGUGUGUGUGUGUGUGUGUGUGUGUGUGUGUGUAUGAAGUAGACCUCAGGUGUCCUCAAUCUUUCUCUCUCUUACUGAGCCUGGAUCUCACUGAUUUAGUUAGGGUUGUUGGCCGAUGAACUCCAGACUUGGCCCCCCAUCCUGCCCCCGCUUCCUGCUCCAGCACUGGAAUGACAGAUGUACACUGUUACACCUAGCUUGCUUGCUUUCUUUCUUUCUUUCUUUCUUUAUUUAUUUAUUUAUUUAUUUAUUUAUUUAUUUAUUUAUUUAUUUUCUUUAGAGGUGACAGAUGUACACUGUUACACCUAGCUUUAUUUUUAUUUAUUUAUUUUCUUUAGAGGUGACAGAUGUACACUGUUACACCUAGCUUUAUGUAUUUAUGUAUUUAUGUAUUUAUGUAUUUAUGUAUUUAUGUAUUUAUGUAUUUAUGUAUUUAUGUAUUUAUGUAUUUAUGUAUUUAUGUAUUUAUGUAUUUAUGUAUUUAUGUAUUUAUGUAUUUAUGUAUUUAUGUAUUUAUGUAUUUAUUUAUUUAUUUAUUUAUUUAUUUAUUUAUUUAUUUUCUUUAGAGGCAAGGUCUCCCUAUACAGUCCUUGCUGCCCUGAAACUUGCUGUCCUUAAACUCACAGAGACCCUCCUGUCUAUGCCUUCACAGUACUGAGAUUACAGACAUACAUCAUU